AGAUUGAACGCUGGCGGCAGGCCUAACACAUGCAAGUCGAGCGGCAGCACGGGUACUUGUACCUGGUGGCGAGCGGCGGACGGGUGAGUAAUGCCUGGGAAUCUGCCUGGUAGUGGGGGAUAACGCUCGGAAACGGACGCUAAUACCGCAUACGUCCUACGGGAGAAAGCAGGGGACCUUCGGGCCUUGCGCUAUCAGAUGAGCCUAGGUCGGAUUAGCUAGUUGGUGAGGUAAUGGCUCACCAAGGCGACGAUCCGUAACUGGUCUGAGAGGAUGAUCAGUCACACUGGAACUGAGACACGGUCCAGACUCCUACGGGAGGCAGCAGUGGGGAAUAUUGGACAAUGGGCGAAAGCCUGAUCCAGCCAUGCCGCGUGUGUGAAGAAGGUCUUCGGAUUGUAAAGCACUUUAAGUUGGAGAAGGCAGUUACCUAAUACGUAUCUGUUUGACGUUACCGACAGAAUAAGCACCGGCUAACUCUGU
This 483-nucleotide ribosomal RNA is filed under the name uncultured soil bacterium. Its description in RNAcentral is "bacterial SSU rRNA". It matches the Rfam family "Bacterial small subunit ribosomal RNA", at positions 26 to 506 of the family's 1533-position model. The record is from RNAcentral.